AGCUUUGCGCAGUGGCAGUAUCAUAGCCAAUGAGGUUUAGCUGAGGUAUGAUUAUUGCUAAUUAAAUUAAUUACAGCUACAUUAAAAGUUCAGUUCCUCAGACACACUAGCUACACUUCAGAUUUUUAAUACACACAUGUAAUUUAGAGCUGUUAUAUUGGAGAAUAUAGAUAUAU
Heterocephalus glaber (naked mole-rat) is the source of this 176-nucleotide small nuclear RNA. Its record names the gene U4. It matches the Rfam family "U4 spliceosomal RNA". From Rfam's summary of the family: U4 small nuclear RNA (U4 snRNA) is a component of the major U2-dependent spliceosome. The structure of U4 snRNA from yeast and human has been reported. NCBI's taxonomy places the organism in Eukaryota, Metazoa, Chordata, Mammalia, Rodentia, Bathyergidae. The record is from Ensembl.